CUUGCUUGUUGGGGUUGUAGGACACUCUAUACGGAGUUACAAAGGACGACAUUAGACGAAUCAUCUGGAAAGAUGAAUCAAAGAAGGUAAUAAUCCUGUAGUCGAAAAUGUUGUCUCUCUUGAGUGGAUCCUGAGUACGACGGAGCACGUGAAAUUCCGUCGGAAUCUGGGAGGACCAUCUCCUAAGGCUAAAUACUCUCUAGUGACCGAUAGUGAACCAGUACCGUGAGGGAAAGGUGAAAAGCACCCCGGAAGGGGAGUGAAAUAGAACCUGAAACCGUGUGCUUACAAGUAGUCAGAGCCCGUUAAUGGGUGAUGGCGUGCCUUUUGUAGAAUGAACCGGCGAGUUACGAUUUGAUGCAAGGUUAAGCAGUAAAUGUGGAGCCGUAGCGAAAGCGAGUCUGAAUAGGGCGUUUAGUAUUUGGUCGUAGACCCGAAACCAGGUGAUCUACCCUUGGUCAGGUUGAAGUUCAGGUAACACUGAAUGGAGGACCGAACCGACUUACGUUGAAAAGUGAGCGGAUGAACUGAGGGUAGCGGAGAAAUUCCAAUCGAACCUGGAGAUAGCUGGUUCUCUCCGAAAUAGCUUUAGGGCUAGCCUCAAGUGAUGAUUAUUGGAGGUAGAGCACUGUUUGGACGAGGGGCCCCUCUCGGGUUACCGAAUUCAGACAAACUCCGAAUGCCAAUUAAUUUAACUUGGGAGUCAGAACAUGGGUGAUAAGGUCCGUGUUCGAAAGGGAAACAGCCCAGACCACCAGCUAAGGU
RNAcentral lists this ribosomal RNA (765 nucleotides) under Staphylococcus aureus. RNAcentral describes it as "partial 23S ribosomal RNA". It matches the Rfam family "Bacterial large subunit ribosomal RNA", at positions 284 to 1045 of the family's 2925-position model. Lineage: Bacteria; Bacillati; Bacillota; Bacilli; Caryophanales; Staphylococcaceae. The record is from RNAcentral.